This 669-nucleotide ribosomal RNA is filed under the name uncultured fungus. Its description in RNAcentral is "eukaryotic LSU rRNA". It matches the Rfam family "Eukaryotic large subunit ribosomal RNA", at positions 24 to 665 of the family's 3401-position model. Lineage: Eukaryota; Fungi. The record is from RNAcentral.
CCCGCUGAACUUAAGCAUAUCAAUAAGCGGAGGAAAAGAAACUAACAAGGAUUCCCCUAGUAACUGCGAGUGAAGCGGGAAAAGCUCAAAUUUAAAAUCUGGUGGUCUUUGGCCAUCCGAGUUGUAAUUUAGAGAAGCGUCUUCCGCGCUGGACCAUGCACAAGUCUCCUGGAAUGGAGCGUCAUAGAGGGUGAGAAUCCCGUCUUUGGCAUGGACACACCAGGGCUUCUGUGAUGCGCUCUCGAAGAGUCGAGUUGUUUGGGAAUGCAGCUCAAAAUGGGUGGUGAACUCCAUCUAAAGCUAAAUAUUGGCGAGAGACCGAUAGCGAACAAGUACCGUGAGGGAAAGAUGAAAAGCACUUUGGAAAGAGAGUGAAACAGUACGUGAAAUUGUUGAAAGGGAAACGCUUGAAGUCAGUCGCGUCGGCCGAGACUCAGCCUUGCCUCGGCUUGGUGUAUUUCUUGGCCCGACGGGUCAGCAUCAAUUUUGCCCCUUGGAUAAUGGCUAGGGAAAUGUGACACCUUUAUAGGUGUGUUAUAGUCUCUCGUCGCAUGCAAGGGUCAGGAUUGAGGAACUCAGCAUGCACCUUCGGGUGUCGGGGCUUUUGUCCACGAUACAUGCUUAGGAUGUUGGCGUAAUGGCUUUAAACGACCCGUCUUGAAACACCGG